GAUGAACGCUGGCGGCGUGCCUAAUACAUGCAAGUCGAGCGAACAGAUGAGGAGCUUGCUCCUCUGACGUUAGCGGCGGACGUGUGAGUAACACGUGGAUAACCUACCUAUAAGACUGGGAUAACUUCGGGAAACCGGAGCUAAUACCGGAUAAUAUAUUGAACCGCAUGGUUCAAUAGUGAAAGACGGUUUUGCUGUCACUUAUAGAUGGAUCCGCGCCGCAUUAGCUAGUUGGUAAGGUAACGGCUUACCAAGGCAACGAUGCGUAGCCGACCUGAGAGGGUGAUCGGCCACACUGGAACUGAGACACGGUCCAGACUCCUACGGGAGGCAGCAGUAGGGAAUCUUACGCAAUGGGCGAAAGCCUGACGGAGCAACGCCGCGUGAGUGAUGAAGGUCUUCGGAUCGUAAAACUCUGUUAUUAGGGAAGAACAAAUGUGUAAGUAACUAUGCACGUCUUGACGGUACCUAAUCAGAAAGCCACGGCUAACUACGUG
This 497-nucleotide ribosomal RNA is filed under the name uncultured bacterium. Its description in RNAcentral is "partial 16S ribosomal RNA". It matches the Rfam family "Bacterial small subunit ribosomal RNA", at positions 28 to 507 of the family's 1533-position model. The record is from RNAcentral.